CCGAGUUAGGGUGUCCAACGCCUCCGGGCGCGCCCGACCUCCAACCCUUUGUCUACCUGACCUUUUGUUGCUUCGGCCGGCCGGCCCCCUCUCUGACCGGGGGGGCCGCCGGGGGUGCCUCACCGCCUCCCUGGCCCGCCGCCGGCCGGUGGCCCAUAACCAAAACUCUUGUCAAAAAACGUGUCGUCUGAGUACAGUGUUAUACCAAUAACUAAACAA
This 219-nucleotide unclassified non-coding RNA is filed under the name uncultured Chaetothyriales. Its description in RNAcentral is "sequence contains ITS1". Lineage: Eukaryota; Fungi; Ascomycota; Eurotiomycetes; Chaetothyriales. The record is from RNAcentral.